This 497-nucleotide ribosomal RNA is filed under the name uncultured bacterium. RNAcentral's name for it is "partial 16S ribosomal RNA". It matches the Rfam family "Bacterial small subunit ribosomal RNA", at positions 28 to 507 of the family's 1533-position model. The record is from RNAcentral.
GAUGAACGCUGGCGGCGUGCCUAAUACAUGCAAGUCGAGCGAACAGACGAGGAGCUUGCUCCUCUGACGUUAGCGGCGGACGGGUGAGUACCACGUGGAUAACCUACCUAUAAGACUGGGAUAACUUCGGGACACCGGCGCUAAUACCGGAUAAUAUAUUGAACCGCAUGAUUCAAUAGUGAAAGACGGUUUUGCUGUCACUUAUAGAUGGAUCCGCGCCGCAUUAGCUAGUUGGUAAGGUAACGGCUUACCAAGGCAACGAUGCGUAGCCGACCUGAGAGGGUGAGCGGCCACACUGGAACUGAGACACGGUCCAGACUCCUACGGGAGGCAGCAGUAGGGAAUCUUCCGCAAUGGGCGAAAGCCUGACGGAGCAACGCCGCGUGAGUGAUGAAGGUCUUCGGAUCGUAAAACUCUGUUAUGAGGGAAGAACAAAUGUGUAAGUAACUAUGCACGUCUUGACGGUACCUAAUCAGAAAGCCACGGCUAACUACGUG